This 254-nucleotide ribosomal RNA is filed under the name uncultured bacterium. Its description in RNAcentral is "partial 16S ribosomal RNA". It matches the Rfam family "Bacterial small subunit ribosomal RNA", at positions 524 to 776 of the family's 1533-position model. The record is from RNAcentral.
UACGGGGGGAGCAAGCGUUGUUCGGAUUUACUGGGCGUAAAGGGCGCGUAGGCGGUCGUGACAAGUCACUUGUGAAAUCUCCGGGCUUAACUCGGAACGGUCAAGUGAUACUGUCGGACUAGAGUACAGAAGGGGCAACUGGAAUUCCCGGUGUAGCGGUGAAAUGCGCAGAUAUCAGGAGGAACACCGAUGGCGAAGGCAGGUCUCUGGGCAUUAACUGACGCUGAGGAGCGAAAGCAUGGGGAGCGAACAGG